UUUAUUUUCUAGAAUUGUAUUGUCCCGUGAAAUGAAAGAAAAGUUAGCACAGGUUCGACCGUCGACUAUUGGUGCUGCUGGACGAAUUCAAGGCAUGACCCCUGCAGCUCUUCUUCACCUUCUUUAUUAUGUUCGAAAGAAGGAGAAGCAACAUCAGAUGAUGGCCAGAUGAACAAUAGGGGAAUUAUUUCAUUGUAAAUAAAUGCUUUACUAUCUGGCUAUUGCCAGUUUAAAAACAAGUGAAGAAGUUCGUAUUGAACUAGAAAGGAGACACAAGUACUGUAUAAAAGAAGAGAGAAACGUCUGUGACAAAGAUUAUUUUCUCCAAACUGGAUUUUGAACAUGGAUAUUCAUGUCAUAAAUAUUUAAUCCAUAAAAAAUGUGGUACUCGCCCAAAGCUGUAUUCUAAUAGAAAAAAAUAAAUAUAAUUUGAACAAAGUGGAAAAAUAUCUUCGACACAUACUGUACUCUGUAAGCUGAUUUAUGUCACAUGUGCACUUUCACGUGCACCCAAUCUCUUUUCAAAAAUAGGUGUAUAUGGGUGCAUGGUUAAAAAAAACGUUUGGUCAUGUGAUCUAAUUUUGAAGCAAAAGGUCCGCCAUUUUGAAUUUCAAGAUGGCCGACGUGCUGUGUAAAUUAUGGUCAUGUCAUGUUGGCCUACCAUUAGAAAGGUAUACACUGAUCACUUUUCUCCAUUACACCUAUACCUAAAAUGUAUAAAGUUUCUGAGGUAUUUGUCCUUAAAAAUGUCACAUGACCAAAAUAAGGUUAAAGGUCAAAAUUUGACAAUCAUCAAAUACCACCUAAUUUGCAUAAUUUAAAAUGGCGCCCUUUCAUAAUAAUAAUAAUAAUUUUUGACUUAUAUAGCACAUUGUAGAGACCUCUAUGCGUUUCACAUUAUUACCCCUGGUCAUUGGAUCAAGUAGGCCUACAUACUGAACACACACUCAGGCUCCUUGGGAGAAUUCCUUAGGCUAUGUUCUCACACGGCUGCUAACGGUUAACAGGAUCUGGAUCCUGCUAACCGUUAGCUGCCUUGCCUCCAUCCAAGAAAAUCCCGAUCCGGAUACCAAAAAUUUGAAGAACGAAUCACUGCCAAUAAAAAACUGGAAAUUGUAAAUGCGUGCAUGCGAUUGGUUAAUGAUAGAAACACGCUCAACUUGCUAACUGAUAGCGC
Molecule: long non-coding RNA, 1177 nt
Organism: Anneissia japonica
Lineage: Eukaryota; Metazoa; Echinodermata; Crinoidea; Comatulida; Comatulidae
Exons: 3
Source: RefSeq, a predicted model, not a curated record